This 435-nucleotide ribosomal RNA is filed under the name uncultured bacterium. RNAcentral describes it as "bacterial SSU rRNA". It matches the Rfam family "Bacterial small subunit ribosomal RNA", at positions 43 to 524 of the family's 1533-position model. The record is from RNAcentral.
CAGGCCUAACACAUGCAAGUCGAACGAGACCUUCGGGUCUAGUGGCGCACGGGUGCGUAACGCGUGGGAAUCUGCCCUGGGGUACGGAAUAACUCAGAGAAAUUUGAGCUAAUACCGUAUGAUGACGUAAGUCCAAAGAUUUAUCGCCCUGGGAUGAGCCCGCGUAGGAUUAGCUAGUUGGUGGGGUAAAGGCCUACCAAGGCGACGAUCCUUAGCUGGUCUGAGAGGAUGAUCAGCCACACUGGGACUGAGACACGGCCCAGACUCCUACGGGAGGCAGCAGUGGGGAAUAUUGGACAAUGGGCGAAAGCCUGAUCCAGCCAUGCCGCGUGAGUGAUGAAGGCCUUAGGGUUGUAAAGCUCUCUUGUCCGGGAAGAUAAUGACUGUACCGGAAGAAUAAGCCCCGGCUAACUUCGUGCCAGCAGCCGCGGUAAU